GAUGAACGCUAGCGGCAGGCUUAAUACAUGCAAGUCGUGGGGCAGCAGGACUGUAGCAAUCCAGUUGCUGGCGACCGGCACACGGGUGCGGUACACGUACGCAACUUACCCUUCACUUGGGGAUAGCCCGGGGAAACCCGGAUUAAUACCCCGUAAUAUACUGGAGUGGCAUCACUUUAUUAUUAAAGCUCCGGCGGUUCGGGAUGGGCGUGCGGCUGAUUAGGUAGUUGGUUGAGGUAACGGCUCACCAAGCCUACGAUCAGUAACUGGUGUGAGAGCACGACCAGCUAGAAGUGAAACGAGACACAGGCUCGAAUGCGACGGAAGGGAGGAGUAAGGAAUAAUGGGGAAUGGAGGCAAAUCGGACCCAGCCAUGCCGGGGGGAGGAGGAAGGCGGUCUGAGUUGUAAACUUCUGGUAAAGGAGAGGAAACCUGUGUAUUCUUACGCAGUUGACGGUACCCUAGGAAUAAGCACCGGCUAACUCCGUG
Molecule: ribosomal RNA, 489 nt
Filed under: uncultured bacterium
Lineage: Bacteria
Description: partial 16S ribosomal RNA
Rfam family: Bacterial small subunit ribosomal RNA
Source: RNAcentral